This 468-nucleotide ribosomal RNA is filed under the name uncultured bacterium. RNAcentral's name for it is "partial 16S ribosomal RNA". It matches the Rfam family "Bacterial small subunit ribosomal RNA", at positions 28 to 507 of the family's 1533-position model. The record is from RNAcentral.
GACGAACGCUGGCGGCGUGCUUAACACAUGUAAGUCGAACGGAAAGGCCCUGCUUUUGUGGGGUGCUCGAGUGGCGAACGGGUGAGUAACACGUGAGUAACCUGCCCUUGACUUUGGGAUAACUUCAGGAAACUGGGGCUAAUACCGGAUAGGAGCUCCUGCUGCAUGGUGGGGGUUGGAAAGUUUCGGCGGUCGGGGAUGGACUCGCGGCUUAUCAGCUUGUUGGUGGGGUAGUGGCUUACCAAGGCUUUGACGGGUAGCCGGCCUGAGAGGGUGACCGGCCACAUUGGGACUGAGAUACGGCCCAGACUCCUACGGGAGGCAGCAGUGGGGAAUAUUGCACAAUGGGCGGAAGCCUGAUGCAGCAACGCCGCGUGCGGGAUGACGGCCUUCGGGUUGUAAACCGCUUUCGCCUGUGACGAAGCGUGAGUGACGGUAAUGGGUAAAGAAGCACCGGCUAACUACGUG